AUGUUUGUUCUAUGUAUUCUCGAGACGAGAACGUGUUUUAAAUUACAUGCGUUAUUUACAUAUAUUUGAGAUAAUAUGUAUUAACAUGUGAUUGGAUUACAUGUGCUUGAGAGGUAUGUAUUUGUUGCAUUAGCAUAUAUGGGGAAUCGUAUGCUCAUGCAUUUCAUAGUACGUAGUUAUCGGGAAUGGACUACGGGGGUGUGAUUAUCGGGAAUGGAUCCACCUUAAUCAUGCGGGAUUUUAUUGAGUCCAAUACGUGGUUAUCGGGAAUGGACCACGGGGUGUGAUUAUCGGGAAUGGAUCCACUCUAAUCCUUCGGGAUUUUAUUGAUUCGCCCUAUGAGGCAUAGCAGGGGUUGGACCU
Molecule: long non-coding RNA, 363 nt
Filed under: Trifolium pratense (red clover)
Lineage: Eukaryota; Viridiplantae; Streptophyta; Magnoliopsida; Fabales; Fabaceae
Description: long non-coding RNA (TPRA_LNC006783)
Source: RNAcentral